UAACAAAUGUAGAAGUAUGAU
Molecule: non-coding RNA, 21 nt
Filed under: Caenorhabditis elegans
Lineage: Eukaryota; Metazoa; Nematoda; Chromadorea; Rhabditida; Rhabditidae
Source: RNAcentral